Long non-coding RNA from Dermochelys coriacea (leatherback sea turtle), 1084 nucleotides. RefSeq lists it as uncharacterized. The record is from RefSeq and is a predicted model, not a curated record. NCBI's taxonomy places the organism in Eukaryota, Metazoa, Chordata, Testudines, Dermochelyidae. The transcript has 4 exons.
GAUGGAGAGAAAGGAUGCAUGCUACUGCUAGUUCCAGUGUUUAAAGAACAAGCAUGAUGAAGACUUGAAAACACUUCAAACAUUAGAGACCUGAGGCACAGCUGUCAAAUUAUUCCUGCUAGUACCAAGAAUGAGGCUGGAGAAGGGAGCACUUAGCUAAGGUCCAUGAAGGAAGCUUAGGGAGGAAAAAUAGGCUACUGGAGCAAGCUUCACCAUCUCCUAGGCCCCAAGCCUGUCAUCUUCAUCCUGAGAGAAGUCCUGAUCAGACUGGAGAGAAGGACCCAGAUGACAUUGCUGCCUCUACUGACUCCAGCUGAAUCCCAACCACAAUCUGGGAUGAAACAGGAUUGGACUUCAAUAGCAGCAGCUCCAUGUCAUCUCAGCAACUUUUCCCCAGGACAGUUUUUACUGUCUUGGAUAUCAUCAACCAGACUGUCAAGCAAGGCUUUUUCCUUCUAAAAUUUCUCUUCAGCUAAAGGAAAAGGGAACAAGGGAUAUUAAAAUGCAAGCUCUAUUUAUUUGACAUUUCAAAUGUUUUAACUGUUUUCCCUUUUCUUUAUCUUUAUUAAACAGUUUGGGUUUUUUAUGGUUUGCUGUGGUACUAAGCAGGCUGAUGUCUCUGUAUGCAAAACCCAGACCUCCUUUAACACUGUUUAAUGUUGGACAGUGAGUGAAUUGUGCCAAUAUCUUUUAGCCCAUAUAUUUCAUCUAAACUAAUACAACAGCUGUCCAGGUUUAGGUUAAGGAUCCAGGUCAUUGUUUCAGGUGACAAUGAGUGGAUGACAGAUAUAUCCUAGUGUGAUAUUGUAGGACACUGGUUGAAAAUGUGUGACCCAUUCAUAUACAGAGCAUCUCACUUCUGCACACAACCAAGAAGCACUUUAGUGCAGUAAAAUACCAUGUACCUUUGUCUAGGAUAAUAGCAGUAUCCUCUUAAGCUAAAUAAAUUCCUAAACAAUUGCAGGGUGCAUACAUAACACAGGGUGAACCUUUCUUGCCUCCUAAGAGGAGAAGGAAACAAUGUGUAUCUGCAUCUAUCCUGUCUUGCAACACUAGUUGACCACAGUCCACCUGUGGCUAGCAA